This is a non-coding RNA of Candidatus Saccharibacteria bacterium GW2011_GWC2_44_17, 59 nucleotides long. Lineage: Bacteria; Candidatus Saccharimonadota. The record is from Rfam.
ACUAUGAUCCAUUAUGGAUCCUCUACUCGUAUACGUUUGGACGGCCAAACCAAUAACGA